Molecule: long non-coding RNA, 1426 nt
Filed under: Ananas comosus (pineapple)
Lineage: Eukaryota; Viridiplantae; Streptophyta; Magnoliopsida; Poales; Bromeliaceae
Description: long non-coding RNA (ACOM_LNC032936)
Source: RNAcentral
AAAAAACCUAUUAAGACUUAAAUAUAAACUCCAAUCCAAUCAAAAAUAAAAAAUUCUCUACUCAACCAAUCUCAUCCAAUCCACUCAGCCCAAUUACAAAUAAAAAAAAAAAAAAAUGAUCACCAUCUUCCCUUCUCUUUCUCCGCCGCCGCCGCAGACGACGAGGUAGGGGUCCAGCGGCUGGAGUUCGACCGCGAGAAUCUCGCAGGGAUCGUAGAGGGUUACGAUCACCAAAUAUUCCUCCGCUACAGGUCGCUGAAGGAGUGGGUGCCAAAUAUUAAGGCAGCCCUACAUAUAGCGACUUUAUAUAUAGCAAUAUUUUUGAAAAUUAUCGAUAAUUUAGCCAACAGUAUUUUUUUUUUAUCUGUAUCAAUAUUUAAAAGUGUGAUUAUUGUAGUAUCAGUUAUUUUAAGGGGUAUGUGGAUAAUUAUGUCAAAAUUUUAUUGCACCAAAAAAUUGUCCAAAUCAUGCGACUGUGAUUUAGAAAGAAACAUCCCCAUCAGCAGCUGUAGCUGCGUAGGAAAUCCUAUUCAUCAAUAUGUACACAAUUUAUUAUUUUUUAUAGUUUUAAUUUAUCGAGAAAAGCACAACUAUAAAAAGAGAAUUAGAGCCUUUCUAACAGGGACAAAACUACUGUAUAUUUAUGUCGCUUAGAAGGUAAGUUAAAAUAUUGGGAAAACUUUAAAUAACACUCAUGUGAUUUCGUAAUUUUUUACUUUAAUACUAUAUAAUUUAAAGUGUAUCAAUUUAAUAUUCUGUGAAUUUAUUUUUCUCUUUUUAUUAUCAAUUUCACUAAUUUUUUUUUAAAUCAAUAAUAAAGUUAAAAAUAAAAGGUAUUAAAGUGAAUAUUUGAUAAAUCUAGAUGGAGUAUCUGAAGUUUUUUGUAUUUAAUUUAACGAAAUAUUAACGAAGAAGAUGAUAAAAGAGAAAAAUAAAACCACAUGGCACCACUAAGCUGAUACACUUUAAACCACAGAAUACCAAAGUGAGAAAAUGCAAAACCAGGUAUUUGAAGCUUACCCUAAAAUAUUAAAGUUAAUUGUGUUAGCCCUACAACCAAAAAGGGUUUUGACCCCUACAACUCUAUCAUCCAAGGGGCCACUUCUGUACACUAGCUAGUUUUAUCAAUCUCCUUUGUUUUGGUUCUAAAACCAAGAAAAAUUCUAUUUAAAUCUUCGAGAAAGUUUUAAUCUCUUGAAUGAAGGGUUGUAAUCUUACAAUCCUCUUGGGUUGUAGACUUAGUAUUUUUUCAGUUUGAAUUUGGUUUAUCCAACUGACCGUCCCUAAAGCAAGUGGCAAAGGGUUUGGUGCUUGAUAUUCGAGACCCAAGUUCGAAUCCUAAUUGAUUCAUAUUUCCAACUAAGUUUAUUUCUAAAUAAAAUAAACGAAGCGGAUAGCAUGCUAUCUAUCUCUUAAAAAAAAAAAA